Molecule: long non-coding RNA, 1538 nt
Organism: Acanthochromis polyacanthus (spiny chromis)
Lineage: Eukaryota; Metazoa; Chordata; Actinopteri; Pomacentridae
Exons: 2
Source: RefSeq, a predicted model, not a curated record
CUCCAGCACCGAGCUGCAAAGAGGACCGCAUUGUUUACGUCACUUUUUCAUUAUUCAUAAAGUGCAGUAGGCCUACACCCUCACCGAGGCCCGGAGAGUGGGGCGACUUUACGCCGUGGGGCUCAUUAACGCUGCUGCUGGUGACCCUGGAGGAGCCCUGUGGCAUCAUGUGCACACUCCUGAGCUGUCAUGCAGCAUAAAACGCCAUAGUCCCACUAGUUUUGUCACAUUUAUAAUGCAAUAUCCUCUUUUCUGUUGCAUAGACUGACGUGGCACAUCCACAAGCCUCAUCCUGGAUGCAUUUCUUUCAUGUAAUUCAACUUCAAACGUAAAAUUUGCAGCGUCACAUGAUAAUGAUGACGCACAUUUCAUCCUCCACGUUUCCUCAAAAAGUGCCCCAACUGCGGCUUUAAAUAUUAGCAGACUACACACAGGUUUAUUCAGCUUAUGCCCAUCAGUAUUCAGUCCACAACCACCGCGUGUGCGUCUGCGCCAGCGUCACUUUACGCACGGACGCCAGCAGCUAAAUAUAGUUUUCUAUGUCAGCGCGUGUCAGGGGAGAUGAAUCUCCAUCGCCUGUUCCGAACUCAAAGCUGACAGCCAACCAGACCAUAUCUGCCUUGUAAAUGAAAACGGCCACCAGCAGCAGUAGGUACUCUGUGCUUCACCUGCUGACAUGGUGUAUUUCCGUGUGGAUGAAAAACAUAAAAUGCACCUUGAGCUGUUUUGGGCAGUAAGAAGACACCCUCUGGAAAUUCCCCAUCAUAAGGUCCCAGAUGGGACGAUCCCACCAGCGAGGGGGCAGGUGUGGUGAACACGGUUGGUGCUGAGCACCAGUGAUUAGCCAGACCCCAGUAAGUGCUGCAGGGAGUUAAAUGGGGCUGGCUGCCAGCUGCUGAUGUCUGCUGAUGAGGAGCUGGGGGAGGGUGGGUCAGCCAGUGUGGUGGGUGGAGGCAGGGGUGGUGUUCAGGAGAGGAAGAGGGGGUCGGGGUCCGUUCUGUGACUCCCAGCUGCCCUUCCACAUGCAGAAUCUGACACAUCAGUCCAAACCUGAGCAUAGUUCUGAAUAUUUAUUUUCACUCUUGGAUGUAACGGCACCUGAAUGUGUCAGGGGAACAAAUGUAAAUGUGUUUCUGUAGAUGUUCAUUAAUGUGCAAAAUCCAGAAAUUCACCAUCAGUUACUCUACGGUUCAUAGUAGGGAUUGACGUUUUGUUGUUUUUAUGAUCGAUACUGAUUAUUGGUAAUCAAGAAAGGCUGUUGACCAAUAUUUGAAACUGAUGUACAUUAAAUGUAAUGUUUUACCAGCAUGUGACAGCAGAAAACCUGUCAUUUUUAACUAGGUUUCUUCAUUAAUAAGGAUGACUAUAACUGAGUAUGUAAAAUAGAAAUAGGAGUGAUUCAAUUAGGAUGCUCUCCUCUGUUUAUGUGGGACUGGGAUUGAUCAGUUUGUCUCCUGCCGCUACGUGUGCUGUUCUUCUGUAUUUCCUUCACUGUUCUGUCACUUUUACUGCACACUAAAGUCCAUCUUUUAAAGUAA